GUCGCCGUAGACCAACUGGCAGAGUCGGUGGCUCGAGAAGUCACCCAGUGGAGGUUCGAAUCCUCUCGGCGACA
This 74-nucleotide transfer RNA is filed under the name Gemmatimonadaceae bacterium. RNAcentral describes it as "tRNA-Leu". It matches the Rfam family "tRNA". From Rfam's summary of the family: Transfer RNA (tRNA) molecules are approximately 80 nucleotides in length. Their secondary structure includes four short double-helical elements and three loops (D, anti-codon, and T loops). Further hydrogen bonds mediate the characteristic L-shaped molecular structure. tRNAs have two regions of fundamental functional importance: the anti-codon, which is responsible for specific mRNA codon recognition, and the 3' end, to which the tRNAs corresponding amino acid is attached (by aminoacyl-tRNA synthetases). tRNAs cope with the degeneracy of the genetic code in two manners: having more than one tRNA (with a specific anti-codon) for a particular amino acid; and 'wobble' base-pairing, i.e. permitting non-standard base-pairing at the 3rd anti-codon position. RNAcentral also lists the same sequence under 2 other names. The record is from RNAcentral. Lineage: Bacteria; Pseudomonadati; Gemmatimonadota; Gemmatimonadia; Gemmatimonadales; Gemmatimonadaceae.